Molecule: transfer RNA, 66 nt
Filed under: Hemiarthrum setulosum
Lineage: Eukaryota; Metazoa; Mollusca; Polyplacophora; Chitonida; Hemiarthridae
Description: tRNA-Asp
Source: RNAcentral
AAGAAUCUAGUUAAAAUAUAAUAAUAUAGGCUUGUCAAGUCUUAGUUACUAAAAUAGUGUUUCUUU